RNAcentral lists this ribosomal RNA (596 nucleotides) under uncultured Hymenoscyphus. RNAcentral describes it as "eukaryotic LSU rRNA". The stretch from base 236 to 389 matches the Rfam family "5.8S ribosomal RNA". The record is from RNAcentral. Lineage: Eukaryota; Fungi; Ascomycota; Leotiomycetes; Helotiales; Helotiaceae.
ACGAUUCUUGGUCAUUUAGAGGAAGUAAAAGUCGUAACAAGGUUUCCGUAGGUGAACCUGCGGAAGGAUCAUUAAAGAACGCCCCGUUUCUUGAAAUGGGUAAUUCCAAACCGUGUAUACAUACCUUUGUUGCUUUGGCAGGCCGCCCCUCGGGGCGUCGGCUCCGGCUGACUGCGCCUGCCAGAGGACCCAAACUCGUUUGUUUAGUGAUGUCUGAGUACUAUAUAAUAGUUAAAACUUUCAACAACGGAUCUCUUGGUUCUGGCAUCGAUGAAGAACGCAGCGAAAUGCGAUAAGUAAUGUGAAUUGCAGAAUUCAGUGAAUCAUCGAAUCUUUGAACGCACAUUGCGCCCCUUGGUAUUCCGAGGGGCAUGCCUGUUCGAGCGUCAUUAUAACCACUCAAGCCUCGGCUUGGUAUUGGGGUUCGAGGUUUCUCGGCCCUUAAAAUCAGUGGCGGUGCCAUCUGGCUCUAAGCGUAGUAAUUUUUCUCGCUACAGGGUCCGGGUGGUUGCUUGCCAGAAUCCCCCCCUUUUAAGGUUGACCUCGGAUCAGGUAGGGAUACCCGCUGAACUUAAGCAUAUCAAUAAGCGGAGGAA